This 253-nucleotide ribosomal RNA is filed under the name uncultured bacterium. RNAcentral's name for it is "partial 16S ribosomal RNA". It matches the Rfam family "Bacterial small subunit ribosomal RNA", at positions 524 to 776 of the family's 1533-position model. The record is from RNAcentral.
UACGAAGGGGGCUAGCGUUGCUCGGAAUCACUGGGCGUAAAGCGCACGUAGGCGGAUUUCUAAGUCAGGGGUGAAAUCCUGGAGCUCAACUCCAGAACUGCCUUUGAUACUGGGAGUCUCGAGUCCGGGAGAGGUGAGUGGAACUGCGAGUGUAGAGGUGAAAUUCGUAGAUAUUUGCAAGAACACCAGUGGCGAAGGCGGCUCACUGGCCCGGUACUGACGCUGAGGUGCGAAAGCGUGGGGAGAAAACAGG